Molecule: long non-coding RNA, 834 nt
Filed under: Phascolarctos cinereus (koala)
Lineage: Eukaryota; Metazoa; Chordata; Mammalia; Diprotodontia; Phascolarctidae
Description: lncRNA (ENSPCIG00000031971.1)
Source: RNAcentral
AUGAGUCAAGCAACUGAGAGAGAGGCCAGUGAUGGGAUGGCAAAGGAGAAGUUGGAGUAUUCUAAAGAAGAGGAAGGACAUCAGAAGAGGAGGCAAGUCAGCAAACCUCUGAUGCAGACUCUCUGGGCACAGUUCAAAAGCAGUAGGCAUCUUGGACGAAAGGAUUGCUUUAGACUUUCAUUUGAGUUUUCAUUGGUCGACAUACAGAUCACAAAAUGGUUUAAACAAAAGAAGAAGCAAUAUCAAAAAUGUUGUAAGGAUACAACUAAUUACUACAAAUGCAAAUGACUUUGGUAAGUUUUUUUAAACACAUAGUUGUAUUUCUUUAAGUCACCAAGUGUCAACAAGUGAGUAUCAGACAUAAAGAUUUUAGCUUACAGACAGGAGUUUUAUUUGGUGAACCGAACAGCCAUAUUAAUGACUUGCUGUGGUAAGCAGUCACAAAGCCUGCCCAUGCUCAUUUUGCUACGACUCCUUCCAACUUCCCAGCAACCUACAAUCAACACCAAACACAUCCCUAUUAUUGAAAACCACUGCCAAGUUCUGACAGCCACUACAGCAUGACUCUACCUACAUAGUAAAAGGUUGUCGCUAUCCUGUAUAUCAUGUCAUUUUGUUUCCUGCUUCCUUCUUCAAAUCAGGCAGAGGUCUGAAGACCAUCCAUAUCUUUAUCAUCUACAUGAAGAGAUUUUCCUGAAGAUGCAGAAGAAUUUUAAUGAUCAAUAUAGAACCUUGUUAGUGACCAAUUAUGGGAUUCUGAGCAUGUCCUCAUUUUUAAAGCACUACCUUAAUGAUACAGUUCAAUAAUUUUUAAUAAAAAUUCAUCAUGACCCA